AAUUUUUCUUUCAUUCUUCACGCGAAUAAUUUUGUUUGUUCUUUUAUUUUUUACAAAAAAACCAAAACGAAAAAAAAUGUAAAACGUGUCUGAACUAAUUACAACUCGUAACGGUGGAUGUCUCGGCUCCUGCAUCGAUGAAGAACGCAGC
This 151-nucleotide ribosomal RNA is filed under the name Gracilaria tenuistipitata. RNAcentral's name for it is "Agarophyton tenuistipitatum partial 5.8S ribosomal RNA". The stretch from base 103 to 151 matches the Rfam family "5.8S ribosomal RNA", at positions 1 to 49 of the family's 154-position model. The record is from RNAcentral. Lineage: Eukaryota; Rhodophyta; Florideophyceae; Gracilariales; Gracilariaceae.